UGAAUCCAAAUAAUUGGUAAAGUUAUUAUUCGCGAUUUUAUACAUCGCCAGAAAGAACUAAUAAAAAUUUUAUCUAGAUUAAUUGUGAUAAUUAUAACUGAACCAAGGAUGGCUCAAUGCUUGUGAUGCAGAAAGUCUUUCAUCGGGGUCAAUGCAGAGAAGCUUAUUUAAUAAAUCUACAAAUAAAGGAUCAUUGUUCGAAAACAACUCAUUUAUUCUGUUCUUAUGUAUGGAAUUUUCCUUUAAUGUAGUAAAAAGUCUAAUUUUGUUUAAGUUUUUAUCGAAUAAAUGUCCGUCAUGAGUAAUAAAGUGAUUUAUUAUUGAAGAAUUAUUUAUCAUCCGUAUUGGUAUUUUUUUACCUAUCGUUGUAAUGAUGUUUGCUAGCAAUUGUUGAGUUGAACUAUUAUGGUCAAAAAGUGGCUUUCUAAGCACUAAUUCUGCCAUUACACAUCCAACACUCCAAAUAUCAAUUUUCUCGUUGUAGGCUAGUCCUAAACAGAUUUCGGGAGAUCGAUAAUACCUGCUCUGGAUAUAAGAAUUUCUAGUAUUUGACGCUUGGUAAAUGCUUAAACAGCUUCCCCAAUCAAUCAAUUUAAUAUUUAUCUCGUCUUUUUUGUCAAAGUUUGUAUUGUUUAAAUAUCCAAAAAUGUCUUGUGUAUCAAUACCUGCAAUAACUAUAUUUUCUGGUUU
RNAcentral lists this non-coding RNA (690 nucleotides) under Cryptosporidium parvum. The record is from RNAcentral. Lineage: Eukaryota; Apicomplexa; Conoidasida; Eucoccidiorida; Cryptosporidiidae.